ACGCCUUUCGGCCCAUUAAGCAAUGAUCAUGUGUAGUAUCUGUUCUUAUCAGUUUAAUAUCUGAUACGUCCUAUCUGGGGGACCAUAGCAUAAAUUGAUUUUGGAACAGGGUAUGAAACAGGCUUGCUCACCACUCCACGCGAUCGCACUCGGUAUUGCAGUACUUCCAGGAGCCGUGUGCACUUUCC
This is a small nuclear RNA of Polypterus senegalus (gray bichir), 188 nucleotides long. RefSeq annotates it as U2 spliceosomal RNA. The transcript has a single exon. Lineage: Eukaryota; Metazoa; Chordata; Cladistia; Polypteriformes; Polypteridae. The record is from RefSeq and is a predicted model, not a curated record.